This 386-nucleotide non-coding RNA is filed under the name Oryza barthii. The record is from RNAcentral. Lineage: Eukaryota; Viridiplantae; Streptophyta; Magnoliopsida; Poales; Poaceae.
GUGUUGUAGACCACACUCCCUUUUGCAAAGAACACACACAAGAUUCCUAAUCGUCUCCUCUCCUUGCUUUGUUGUUGCUAUGGUUUGCCACUAUCACAAGCAACCUUGUGCAUUAGUUAGAUCCAGAAUUCCAGAUCUCUCACUUCUUUCUCAGUAGGCAAGCACAUAAUCUUGUAUAGGGUAGUAUAUUUAUUUGUUUUCAUUGCUGUUUCUGUUGCUCUCAGUCCAUAUCUGUCAGUGGGUCAGUAUUGCAUCUGCCUUUUUUUUUUCUCUCUCUUCAUCGAUCUGUAUAGAUUUGUUUGGGUGAUGCCUGGGCGCAGUGGUUUAUCGAUCUCUUCCCUGCCUUGUGCUGCUCCGAUCGAUGCCCGUGCUGAUUCUUGAUAAUA